Non-coding RNA from Struthio camelus australis, 303 nucleotides. NCBI's taxonomy places the organism in Eukaryota, Metazoa, Chordata, Aves, Struthioniformes, Struthionidae. The record is from RefSeq and is a predicted model, not a curated record.
GACCCCACUGACUGUUUCCCCCCAGGACGGACACUCCUCCGACUCCAGCUCCAGUUCCAGCUCCAGCGAUGGGGAGAAGCACCACGGCCCGGGCCACGAGCACAAGAAGAAGGAGAAACUGCACAAGAAACCCAAGGACAAGAAAAAGGAAAAGAAAAGCCACUGAGCAGGGCCAGGACCCAGCAGCACCCCCAGGUGCAAUGGGGCAGUAGCAGGGCAGGGGCUGCCCCGAGGCAGGGCCCAGCACCCCCCUGGGGCAGCAUCACCCCACUCCUACCUGGUAAUAAAGAGCUUGAACCCUGA